AUACGGAGGGUGCAAGCGUUAUCCGGAAUCAUUGGGUUUAAAGGGUCCGUAGGCGGACUAUUAAGUCAGAGGUGAAAUCCCACAGCUCAACUGUGGAAUUGCCUUUGAUACUGGUAGUCUUGAGUUAUAUGGAAGUAGAUAGAAUGUGUAGUGUAGCGGUGAAAUGCAUAGAUAUUACACAGAAUACCGAUUGCGAAGGCAGUCUACUACGUAUAUACUGACGCUAAGGGACGAAAGCGUGGGGAGCGAACAGGAUUAGAAACCCUUGUAGUCC
RNAcentral lists this ribosomal RNA (274 nucleotides) under uncultured bacterium. Its description in RNAcentral is "partial 16S ribosomal RNA". It matches the Rfam family "Bacterial small subunit ribosomal RNA", at positions 523 to 796 of the family's 1533-position model. The record is from RNAcentral.